AAGUGAAUAACCCAUUGAAAUAUGGGCUGAUUUAACGUAAAAGAUGAUAAAAUUAAAAGUAAAUAGUUUAAGACAAUCCCUGGUACCCCGCUGUAGUGCUCUCACCCAGCUUUAUGAGGCCUUUUGAAUCACUUGAAAAGCUGUCUUGGUUAUAGAGAAAAUCCCAAUACCGAAAACGGCAUUUUGCCCCUCAAACUGGCGCCAGAGCGUCAUCCGUUGAACACCGUACUUAAUCCCUGUCUUUAAUUGGCCUUUUGGGAAGUUUGUUUUAAUUUUUUAUAAAAACUUAUAAGCCCAGGGCUUUGUUUCUAUGACUUUGGUCCUUUUACUAUCAGUCACUUUAAAUAUGUGUAUGUUUAUGUAUAUGUGCAUAGACAUGUAUAAUUAGUGGUACACUAAUUUUGAUAGAGAAAAUAGCAUUUUCACGAAAAGGUAUUUAUUCAAUUCAACGGACGCCCAGGUGUGAGGGAAAUCAAGAUGAUGCUUAGUACAUUUCUUUACUGUGAAGGAAAGCAUCAGAAGCAGUCGCUAUACCAGAUAUAUGUAUCAUUGUACAUGUAUAUGUUUAUUUCACUGUAACAUAUGCAUCCACCUACGUGGACAGCAGCUAUAAUAUUGUAUAUUUAUCACAUACAUGUACCGUUAGUGGAUAUUCUAUAGUCCACCCACCUCUUCGGAGCAGAGAACAGGACAAUGACUCCGAGUGAGUGGAUGGAUAUGGACUGAGAACUUGACUUGAUCAACACCAGACUGUUUAAGUAAUAUGUUUUUAGUAGUUACUACAUGUAUCAAAAAUGAAUAUUUUUUUGUAAAAGACCAUCGGUUACAUUGUUGUGAAUCAACUGGAGUGGGAAUCGGUUCAGGAAAGAUUUUCACGGGUCCUACAGGUACUUGACCAUUGACAUUGUGCACCUGUGUAUUUACUGGUAUUGCAAUGACAUUACCCGGUAAUUAUGAUUUGAUAUUGAUAUCAGGUUAAAAAGAAAAAAACGUUGAUAGAAAUGGUUUAAUAAUUGUAUAAAUAGUUUUCAGAUUGGUCUUGAAAAGCCAUGUUUAAACUUAACAAUAGUUAAUGAAAUAGAGCUAUGUUUCCUUGAUACUUUAAUCCAAGAGACAAACUAACAGAGAUAAAUAGAAGAGAGAGGCUGACUUGUACAUACAGUAUGACGUUAUACAAGUACUAGUAUAUUCUGAAAUGAUAUAUGUAUCUGGGGUAGUAGAGCUAGCAAUUUUUUGCUCAGCCAAAUCACCAUUUUUUGUCAAUUUGUUAUCAAAAUGGUUUUACUUUGACUAAAACAAGUCAAAUCAAGCCCUUUUGCUUUAGUCAAUUUAAGGAAGUUUUAGCAUUUGGCUAAAUUGACAAGUGUUAGCGCUACCCCAGUGUAUUUUAUCAAUAUAGACAUAGAUGUUAUGUUAAAUGGGAUCCAAAGCCGAGGCAAAACAUACAGAUAUAAUUCUAUAGUCAAAUAUAGGACUGGUUACGAUUGACAAAACCAAAGGUGCACACCGUCUAAAGAUUGUAGAAUGUUUGGGAUGUGCUGCUCUGCUACAAUUUUCAGACAGGACAUUUUGCAUGUACAGGGCACCCACCACUGCGGGUGUUUGAAUGGCAAUGGGAUACUUCAUUCGGGUAACCGACGUGCAGGACCACGUUGGUACCUUGCUUCAUAUUUUCUGGUCCAAACUCUGAUGGUACCUGUCCAGACGUUAUGAUUAGAUGUGAUAUAUGAUAUGAUGACCCGGGAGCUCUCCUUGGUGUGGCUGAAGAUGAUGUUGACCACUGUAUCAAUAUUAUUUUGGUCCCACUGCAUGCACGGACAUUGUUUUUGGCAUUGUGCGGAGAUGAUCAAGUAAGUGGUAUCAGAGAACAUAUUAUAUGUGUUUGCUUGACAACCUCCAUUACCAUUCCAAGAUUACCAAGUCUAUGGACAGUUAUCCUCUGGUUAAAUUACAUGACUGACAUAUAAUAUACAUGUACAUCUUUUCAUAUAUGUGUUUAUCAAAACUUAAAUCAGAAUGAGGAAAUAUAAAAAUAGCUUUUAAAUAAUUUUCAGAAUCAUUAUGGGUUUUCAUUUAAUACACUUUAUGUUGUGGACUAUAUUUUUAUUGAGGAGUAUCAAUCAAUUGCUUGUUUCAAAAGCACCUUCUAUGUAAACAGAUGUUUGGAUAUGGCUUUUUUAAGAUCGUAAAGCUUUAAGCGAUUGCAGUUAGGACACAUUUUCUAUUAUAUAAACACUAAACAAUUGAUAUUCGCUAUUUAGGAAUUACUAUUUUCCAUAUUUUGCCCCCUCUGUAUGAUAGACUUUCAUUUGAUUUGCAAUGCAACUUAAAGAAAUGAAACAAAAAAACAAAUUCUAAAUGACUUUGUAUUCUGAACUUUAUUGCAUCGUUUUUUUUCACCCCCGUAAAAAAUUAUAUCAAGUUGUUCAAUAUGUAUCAAUAUCAGACACAAAUGUUGGUUAGUGCUGAUAUUAACUUUAUUUUCCGAAGUUGCAUAAAAAAGGGAAUCUAAAUAAAAUAUUAUUGAUUGUCGUGUUAAUUUUCUUUGGUAGUUAACUUCUAUUGCACCUUACGUAGGACGGGCUUAUAAUACAUGUUUAAGAAUGAUGCACAAGCAUAAGCAAGGAAAUCUAUCUUUACAAUAGUCUUUGGUUGGGGUUCUUAGCAUCUGCCUGCAGAUGAUUCGGAUUACAGCUUUUACCACGUGGACACAAUAUUCUAAUCAAAUGUCAGUAUUGGUUCACGUGUCAGGGGGAUCCAAUUAGACAAUGGGAAAGGUGAUAUUUAUAACAUGAUUAUUCACAGUAUGUGACACUUCCCUUGACUGCUUGAUAUAGAUAUGCAAUGAGUGAAAAUGAUAAUUUAAUCUAAAAAACAGAUUACAUUCUUCUUUGUUAUAGAAGAAAUAAUCUAAAAUAACUCAGCUGUCUUACUUCCUAGAUCCUUCUGGUCUUUAAUUUUUUUUCAUUUUCAGUUCCAAUUUCAGCAAGCAUUUCACAUCUUGCACUUUCAACUC
Long non-coding RNA from Lingula anatina, 3016 nucleotides. The record is from RefSeq and is a predicted model, not a curated record. NCBI's taxonomy places the organism in Eukaryota, Metazoa, Brachiopoda, Lingulata, Lingulida, Lingulidae.